UCUUCGGAGUUAGUGGCGGACGGGUGAGUAACGCGUGAGGAUCUGCCCUUAGGUUGGGGAUAACAGUUGGAAACGACUGCUAAUACCCAAUGUGCCGAGAGGUGAAAGGUUUACUGCCUGAGGAUGAGCUCGCGUCCGAUUAGCUAGUUGGUGGGGUAAUAACGUACCAAGGCGACGAUCGGUAGCUGGUCUGAGAGGAUGAUCAGCCACACUGGGACUGAGACACGGCCCAGACUCCUACGGGAGGCAGCAGUGGGGAAUUUUCCGCAAUGGGCGAAAGCCUGACGGAGCAAGACUGCGUGCGGGAGGACGGCCUGUGGGUUGUAAACCGCUUUUGACAGGGAAGAAGAUCUGACGGUACCUGUCGAAUCAGCAUCGGCUAACUCCGUGCCAGCAGCCGCGGUAAUACGGAGGAUGCAAGCGUUAUCCGG
This 431-nucleotide ribosomal RNA is filed under the name uncultured bacterium. RNAcentral describes it as "bacterial SSU rRNA". It matches the Rfam family "Bacterial small subunit ribosomal RNA", at positions 83 to 548 of the family's 1533-position model. The record is from RNAcentral.